CAAAACAGAUCAGGCCUCACCCCCGUAGUUCUCCUUCCGUUCUUUCGUUCGUCGCCCUUCCCAACUGCAGCGUCAUCCAGCUUCCCCGACCGCCGCUCUUCCUUGCCGCGUCUUAUCCACGUUGGAAUCGAUCUGAAAAACAAGGACCGCAGAUGAAUCGCAGAUGAAUCUGUCCACUGUGGUUGAUGUAGCCGAGGAGGUGUACCGUACCCUGACUGUUUGAAGGAGAUUGGAUGGCCGUCUCUAGGAACCAACGAUGGAGGUUUGGUAGCAAAGUUGUUUACCUGCUCGACAACAUUCAAUUUGUUUCACUGCUCACCUCUGUAUCUUGAAGAAUUUCCUGAUUUUGAUAAGUUCUACUCAUAUAAUUUAUCUCUAAUACACUGUCCAGAUGGUUGAUGCAAGCUCUGCAAUUUUGUAAGGAAGAUUUGUGGUAUGUGCAUAUCUAAAUAAACUGGGAUGGACUAAUCUCUGUUUAUAAUUUUUAUCACUUUAUUAGACAAAAGGCCCUCAAGCACAUAGUGGGCAGUCAUGUACAGCUGAUAUAGUUGAUGUUUGAUAACAGUUGGUUCAAGGUGUGUGGCCUUUUGCAUUUUUUUCUAACCUGUCUAUUUUCUGAAUUCUGCUGAGCCGGUAAAGACAGUAGAUCGAGAUAUUUCAGUCCCUACAGAUGCUUUGUUAUUUGAGGACUAAGCAUUAAACAUGUUCCAGUUUCUAGUCCAUUACAUGUAGAUUACUUAUUUAUCGAGUUACUGGAAACUGUUUAGGCUUCCAAUUUAUUCUUAGUUAUGUUGUGAUGGGCUGCGCAUGUGAGUUGACAUAGCAAACAACUUAUUUUGAUAAGCCUAAAGCAUGUACAUUUACUUUCUUAAAGCACGUGAAUUGAAACUGUUAAGGCAGACUAUACAAAGUGUUGCCAGCUUAUUAUAAUUUGGUAUACUGUAGAUAUGGCGUGUGUAGUUUUUUUGGUAAAUCUUCCACCAGAAAUGUUAUUUCAGAAGGUUGGUGCUGAGUGCUGACACCCAGUAAGAUCCUGCUAGAUCGGCCCUCUGUCUAGCACAUUACUCGGUGGAUAUGACAGGCAACCUUCAGUUUCAGGGAGAGUACAUUUUUGGCAUGUUGCUAUUCUUAUGAAGAGUAAUCUCCCCUUGCACAUAACUUACAUAGGAUUGUUGGAUCAUCACAAGAUUUCCUUUAUGAGUAGGGACGUAACUUUUAUUACUGUAAUUCAUCUACAGUCAUGCACCGAUCCAUUGGUACACAUAUUAGAUGAAAAAACUGUUAUAGGCUCACUAUAUAUGUGAACAAAUCUGGAGCCUAUGGAAUAUUGAAUGGUAGGGAUUUAUCGUUUCACUUUACAUGACAUAUUGAUCCUUUGUCCCUGCCUUCUAAUUAUUGCGAAAGAAGGCUUCUUUAGCUUUUAGUCAGUGUCUAAUUAAACUAUGAAAAUGUUAAUUCAUUCAAUAUUUUAGACUACUUUUGUGCGUGCUUCAUGUAGGUAUUUGUACCCAGCAAACAACCUAUGACCAAACAAUAUAUAUUUUAUGCUUUAUCUCGAUGGUACUCAGUGAUACAAAUAUGGAAUUGAUGGAUAAGUAUAAUUAAUGGAUGCAUAUUUAUGUACUUUAUGAUGAAUAGAUUGAAUAAAUAGAUGCAUACAUGGACAAUUGGAUUCUCGCUGAAGAAGCCACAUAUGCCUCCCUGUGUCAUCUAGAUCAUCCCUGAAUCAGAGAUCGCACAAACUAUUGAUUUAUCAGCCGAGCUCCCUGAUAAGUAAUGCAGUUUGUUUAGAUUUAAUAUUACAUGCUACCACAGGUUGUUUCCAGCAAGCUGAUUUGCUUUGCUAAUAGUGAAUUAGGCAUCUGCUCAAGUCUUGAAGAUGACUCUGGCACUAAAGUACCUAAUGCAAAGUAUUAGGACAUACAGUAGCUUUUAAGAUAUUCACCAUGAUGCAAAUUUUGUUCUUCGAUCUUCCCUGUCAGUGAACUAAUCGCUACUUGCAGGAAAAGGUGUCGGCCGACAGGGGUAAUAGUGCAUCAAUGAAGGUCAGAACAGGUCUGGGACAUGAUUAGCGGAGUUACAGGUUCGUUCAGGGGCAGACUACGAGAGCUUUGUUAACAUUAAUUGGAUGUUUUCUUGGAAAAAAACUGUGAGGGGUUGCCAUCUGCCAAUGUCACCAAAAGUGCGAGUUCAGGGAGAAUAUUUCUUCUUUCUACUUGAUCAGUAUACCUGCAUGUUGAUAAACCACUCAAUAUUUUUUUGUGUCUCCAGAUUAUAAUAUGGUUGUGUGUGACCAAAGAACUACUGCAAAGCAUACAGGUAUUGUAGCUGAGAGUAAAGAAAAUUGGAAAUACAAUUUCGAGAGGAAAAAGUUGAUAGCUUAGAUGAUACUAAUUCCGCCUUCAGUAUGAUCAUAUUUUUCUAUAAGAUAUGGCCAUACGAUACCAAAUAGCACUCAAUUUUCCCAUGUAUGUUAGAUGAAACACACAAGGAAAAAAAGUUAUGGACUCCCUUGGAGGUGCCUAAUGUGUACUUUUGUUAAGUAGCAAUGCAUGCUUCAGCUUAUAAUCUAUUCAGUGCAUUUGAUGGUCUUAUCCAUAUGUUUAGUUAUUCUACAAUGUCCAAGUUGACAUCAGGGAUCACGCCCUCAUGUUCUUAUAGGAAUAACUUCUUGCUAACAUUUCAAGACAUGACUGUAUUUAGUCUCUCUACAAAUACGCUUGAGUUGAUACCUUUUCUGUCCUCCUGAUUCUGUUUCAUCACGUGAAUCAAAUGUAAGUUGGUUAUGCCUAGCCAUGAGGUACAAAUUUCUUUACUGUUCUCCAUCAUUACUGUUGAAUAAAUUGGCUGGUCAAUGCAAUGCCAGUGGCAGGAAACAUCAGCACCACACUGCAAAUCUUGAAAAAACAAAUGGUGCACAUAUGAUGCUUUGCUAACGGAUGGUGGUAGGACACAAAUGUGGACCAUACAGGUUGAAAACAAGAGAGAUACCAAUAUACUAUGUCAUUGGUCGUAUUUUUCUAUGAGAAAAUCAUUGGUCGUACUAGGAUAGGGCAAUACGUGUAGCAUCACUCAACUAGAGUAGCAGCGAGUCCAUUUAUAAGCUAUUGCUAGGCAAAGUUUACUUCGGGAGGAGUUGACUGUUGGUACACUGUUUUAUACGACAACUUGAAGUUAAGUUGUUUUUCAUGGAGUUAUAAAGAGGCAAUAUUAUCUCUACUCACAUAUUUCAAGUACAUGCACGAUUUUUGUUUCUCCUUCUAACUGAAAAACAACACGUAAUCUUGAUUAAUGUUGAAAAGAACAAAAAAUGUUUCUAAAAUGUUUUCGAUUCACCUAUAUAUUUCUUUGCGUAAUUAGUUAUAUUAAUCUUAGCCCACUCCAUUUCUCUUUCUUGCUGAUAUAUAAUCAAUUUUUCAUAUUUUGUAAAGUGAUGUGGAUCACAUGAUACCUGCUACAUUUCGCUCAAGGGUUGAAGGGAGACAUUUGAAUAUUUGAUCGCACUUCCACUUGAUUUAUGAGAUUGGGAAAAUAAUUAAGUGGCGUCUACUAGAGAUUCUCUUUUAGGUACAUGGAAGAGAUGACACUAAAGGUGUACUCUUAUAUGUGAAAAUUGUGCACGUUUAUAUUUUAUAUGAUGUUCAGUGUGUACGAUCAUCCAACAAUUCCACUUGGACAAUUCCUAAUGAGUAUAUAAAGAAAUAAUGUGUUUCUCUUUUUUUUUGAGCGUAAAGAAAUAAUGUGUUUCUCAACAUAACAGCAUGGCAGAAACUCAUGGACUCAAGUUUAUUUAGUUGCUUGACAGUAUGGCAUGGUAUAAACAUCAUGCUGCUCUCUGUGGUUCAACAAUUGUA
RNAcentral lists this ribosomal RNA (3854 nucleotides) under Triticum aestivum (bread wheat). RNAcentral describes it as "partial small subunit ribosomal RNA". The record is from RNAcentral. Lineage: Eukaryota; Viridiplantae; Streptophyta; Magnoliopsida; Poales; Poaceae.